The sequence is a ribosomal RNA, 985 nucleotides long. It matches the Rfam family "Eukaryotic small subunit ribosomal RNA", at positions 102 to 1096 of the family's 1831-position model.
UAAAUCAGUUAUCGUUUAUUUGAUAGUACCUUUACCUGGAUAACCGUGGUAAUUCUAGAGCUAAUACAUGCUAAAAACCUCGACUUCGGAAGGGGUGUAUUUAUUAGAUAAAAAACCAAUGCCCUUCGGGGCUCCUUGGUGAUUCAUAAUAACUUAACGAAUCGCAUGGCCUUGCGCCGGCGAUGGUUCAUUCAAAUUUCUGCCCUAUCAACUUUCGAUGGUAGGAUAGUGGCCUACCAUGGUCUUAACGGGUAACGGAGAAUUAGGGUUCGAUUCCGGAGAGGGAGCCUGAGAAACGGCUACCACAUCCAAGGAAGGCAGCAGGCGCGCAAAUUACCCAAUCCCAAUACGGGGAGGUAGUGACAAUAAAUACUGAUACGGGGCUCUUUCGGGUCUCGUAAUCGGAAUGAGUACAAUCUAAAUCCCUUAACGAGGAACAAUUGGAGGGCAAGUCUGGUGCCAGCAGCCGCGGUAAUUCCAGCUCCAAUAGCGUAUAUUAAAGUUGUUGCCGUUAAAAAGCUCGUAGUUGAACCUUGGACCUGGCUGAUCUGUCCUCCUAAUCGAGCGCACGGAUUCGGUCGGGUCUUUCCUUCUGAGGAACCCGAUGCCCUUCACUGGGUGUCGUGGGGAACCAGGACUUUUACCUUGAAAAAAUUAGAGUGUUCAAAGCAGGCCUUUGCUCGAAUACAUUAGCAUGGAAUAAUAGAAUAGGACAUCGGUUCUAUUUUUGUUGGUUUCUAGGACCGCUGUAAUGAUUAAUAGGGAUAGUCGGGGGGCGUCAGUAUUCAAUUGUCAGAGGUGAAAUUCUUGGAUUUAUUGAAGACUAACUACUGCGAAAGCAUUCGCCAAGGAUGUUUUCAUUAAUCAGUGAACGAAAGUUAGGGGAUCGAAGACGAUCAGAUACCGUCGUAGUCUUAACCAUAAACUAUGCCGACUAGGGAUCGGACGGUGGUUUUUUUAUGCCCCGUUCGGCACCUUACGAGAA